Molecule: ribosomal RNA, 449 nt
Filed under: uncultured bacterium
Lineage: Bacteria
Description: partial 16S ribosomal RNA
Rfam family: Bacterial small subunit ribosomal RNA
Source: RNAcentral
AACGAACGCUGGCGGCAUGUCUAACACAUGCAAGUCGAACGAGAUCUUCGGGUCUAGUGGCGCACGGGUGCGUAACGCGUGGGAAUCUGCCCUUUGGUUCGGAAUAACAGUUGGAAACGACCGCUAAUACCGGAUGAUGACGAAAGUCCAAAGAUUUAUCGCCAGAGGAUGAGCCCGCGUAGGAUUAGCUAGUUGGUGUGGUAAAGGCGCACCAAGGCGACGAUCCUUAGCUGGUCUGAGAGGAUGAUCAGCCACACUGGGACUGAGACACGGCCCAGACUCCUACGGGAGGCAGCAGUGGGGAAUAUUGGACAAUGGGCGAAAGCCUGAUCCAGCAAUGCCGCGUGAGUGAUGAAGGCCUUAGGGUUGUAAAGCUCUUUUACCCGGGAUGAUAAUGACAGUACCGGGAGAAUAAGCUCCGGCUAACUCCGUGCCAGCCGCCGCUGUAA